Molecule: ribosomal RNA, 466 nt
Filed under: uncultured bacterium
Lineage: Bacteria
Description: partial 16S ribosomal RNA
Rfam family: Bacterial small subunit ribosomal RNA
Source: RNAcentral
GAUGAACGCUGGCGGCGUGCUUAACACAUGCAAGUCGAACGGAAAGGCCCCUGCUUGCAGGGGUACUCGAGUGGCGAACGGGUGAGUAACACGUGGGUGAUCUGCCCUGCACUUUGGGAUAAGCCUGGGAAACUGGGUCUAAUACCGGAUAGGACCAUCGGCUGCAUGGCGGUGUGGAGAGAGUUUUCGGUUUGGGAUGGGCUCGCGGCUUAUCAGCUUGUUGGUGGGGUAGUGGCGUACCAAGGCGUUGACGGGUAGCCGGCCUGAGAGGGGGUCCGGCCACAUUGGGACUGAGAUACGGCCCAGACUCCUACGGGAGGCAGCAGUGGGGAAUAUUGCACAAUGGGCGGAAGCCUGAUGCAGCAACGCCGCGUGGGGGAUGACGGCCUUCGGGUUGUAAACUCCUUUCGCCAGGGACGAAGCGCAAGUGACGGUACCUGGUGAAGAAGCACCGGCUAACUACGUG